RNAcentral lists this unclassified non-coding RNA (246 nucleotides) under Hevea brasiliensis (rubber tree). Lineage: Eukaryota; Viridiplantae; Streptophyta; Magnoliopsida; Malpighiales; Euphorbiaceae. The record is from RNAcentral.
GGUUGUGGCAUUUUACAAAUUCCUAAAGAAAAAUGCAUCAAUCCCUUUUAAGCUACAGAAGCCAGUUUCAAGUCCAAAAGGUGAGAGUUCUGAAGGAAAAUCUGGUGAUGAUGCAAAAGAUAAAGAGAGCCCAAAGAGCAGCAGCAGCACUGACUUAAAGGAUGAAUUGUGAAGACUUACUGUAGUUUUGUAAGUUAUGCAUCUUUUAUUUCCCUUUUUUGUUGCUUGCAGAUAUAUGUAGACGAU